AUGAAAACAUUCUCACACACCCUCAAAUCUCUAAACUAUUUCUCAAGAUGUGAUGCACGACACGUGUGUGCAUUUUUAGUUGGAGACAAACCAGUUAUGAGGCUGAAAAAAAGAAGCAGUUCCAGUAGAGAGAAGAAAAGCCGCAACAAAAGCCAGCUAAAAGGUUUUAUAUCUUCAAUUUACUGCUGA
This is a non-coding RNA of Vicia faba (fava bean), 189 nucleotides long. NCBI's taxonomy places the organism in Eukaryota, Viridiplantae, Streptophyta, Magnoliopsida, Fabales, Fabaceae. The record is from the annotation of a GenBank genome assembly.